ACAGCAGCAGCCACGGGAAUACGAAGGGGGCUAGCGUUGUUCGGAAUUACUGGGCGUAAAGCGCACGUAGGCGGAUAUUUAAGUCAGGGGUGAAAUCCCAGAGCUCAACUCUGGAACUGCCUUUGAUACUGGGUAUCUUGAGUAUGGAAGAGGUGAGUGGAAUUCCGAGUGUAGAGGUGAAAUGCGUUGAGAUCGGAAAGAACACCAACGGCGAAAGCACUCUGCUGGGCCGACACUGACACUGAGAGACGAAAGCUAGGGGAGCAAAUGGGAUUAGAUACCCGCGUAGUCCCUGUCUCUUAUAC
This 305-nucleotide ribosomal RNA is filed under the name uncultured bacterium. RNAcentral describes it as "partial 16S ribosomal RNA". It matches the Rfam family "Bacterial small subunit ribosomal RNA", at positions 506 to 807 of the family's 1533-position model. The record is from RNAcentral.